This is a long non-coding RNA of Herpailurus yagouaroundi (jaguarundi), 4345 nucleotides long. RefSeq lists it as uncharacterized. The record is from RefSeq and is a predicted model, not a curated record. Lineage: Eukaryota; Metazoa; Chordata; Mammalia; Carnivora; Felidae. The transcript has 4 exons.
UCUCUCUCUCAAAUAAAUAAAAAUUUUUUUAAAUAUUUAAAAAAACAAAAAAGAAGAGAGUAUUGCCUUUUAGAGGUAGGACAUGGCUGCCCAUUUGUCCAAGAGGUCAAAGUUGGCCAUUUCUUCAAAGAUAAUUUUUCUUUUGGUGUUUGCCUAAAUGUCACUCUGUCUCUCUAUACUCAAAGGGUCUCCUCCCCUCAAAUAGGUCCUGCCUACAUCAAAGGCACUGUUCUUACUUUUGUCCUACUGCAGUCCUCAGUUCCUGCUCCAUUUCCUUAGGUAACCCCCACCACCCUCAUCUUCCUUAUGCCUGUUCUACUUAGGGUUCUUUCCAGUGAAAGAAACAAACUAAUUGAAAGAAAAAAAAAUAAUAAUGCAUUGACUCAUAAAACUGGUUAAUCAGAAGACUUCAGGAGUGGCUGGAUCCAGGUUUACAAGACAUGCUUACACACCUCUGCAUGGUCUUUUGUACUCUCUCUCCCUCCCGCUUUCUGUCUCACUUCUUCUGUCUCCUGGUAUUUUCUCUGUAUUCCUUUCCAUCUCAGGCAAGCACUUUGUAUAUGGCAACAUCCUUGGCCACCAGCAGUCCCGGGAUUUAUUUGAUCCCAGACAAAAAGAGCAUUUCUGCCAGGAGCUCCAGAAACAGUUCCAGAAAGGUCUUGGGUUGACCCAGCUUGACCUUCUUUCAUGAGUUUCUCUGAUUCUCCUUGUAUAAAUCUUGUUUUCUGAGUCUGUUUUUCUCCCUACCUGUACCUCAGUCUCUGUCUCCUACUCCCAGAACUCUUUUAUAUGCAGGACAUUUUCAGUGCAAAGAAGUUGAGCGGGAUCAUAGUUAGCACUGGGCGUUCAGGAUCUAGGUUUAUACAUAUUUUCCCUCAUUGAUCACAAUUUCAGCCUUGUAGUACAGAUUCCAGAUAACAUCUGCCCUUUGUAAUAUCUGCUGUGUGUAAAAAUCCUAAACAAAGACUCGGAGAUUAACUGUUAUGGUUAAGAAAAUUCUCAGCAAAUGUGACCUACAUAAAAAUUAUUGGAGUGUAUUCAAUUUGAACACUAAUGCUGUUCUUUUGUAUUGUAUCCUUUUGUUUUAGGGAUGUGUUGCUUUUAAAAAUAGACUACAGAGGACUACAAAGGGCUCAAGGGUUUAUUCUGUCUGCAUUGCUUCCUCAGGGGGCCUCCUCUCUGGCUUGGAGUCUGUAAAAAAAAAAAAAUCUCCAGGAUUAGAGAUUCUAAAACAUCCUUGAUUACAUAUUCUGCUCUUCAAGUAACCUUACCGUCUGGGAGGUCUGUCUUUUUCUUUCUUCCUUUCUUCCUUCCUUCCUUUCUUCCUUCCUUCCUUCCUUCCUUUCUUUCUUUAUUUCUUUCUUCCUUUCUUUCUUUCUCCAAAGUCCCUUUGCUUCAGUCUAAACCUCUUUCUUCUGUCGUAUUCUUCAGAAAUUAAAUGUUGGCUCUUUUUUCUGUAAAAUACUAAAUGUGUCUGAAAAUAUUUCCCUGGCCCCUACCUGCCCAUCUCUACAGAUUAGAUAGACUAAGACUUCUGGCCUGAGGAUCCCAAUCUCUGAAUCAAGAGCAACCAAAUGUGGGAGAAUUAGGAGCCCAGAGCAGGCCCAAGUUCACUGACACUCUCUUGGAUGGAGACUUGGCUGUUUGUGAAUGUGGGCCCUUCUGUAGGUGACUUUGACCCAGGCUUCUCCACCUCUGCUCGCAGUUCUCAUUACCGAAGUUCUUGCUGAACCCACAUGCAUGGAUGAUAAACAAUAAAAUGCCAUACCCUACUCUUUUCCAGUUUAAGAAAUCAAAAGGUUAAAAUAUCACUCUAACCUCCAGACUGAGUAAAUGUCAUAAUUUUGGUUCCUGGAAUUGGUUCUGGAAUUGUACUAUUAGUUAUACAAUUAUUUAUCCACUUCCUUUCUAAUUGUAAAAACCAUUUUUAAGCAUACAGUACAGAAGUGUUAAAUAUAUUAUUGUAUAGCAGAUCACUAGAACUUUUUCAUCAAACUCUAUACCCAUUGAACAAUUCUCCAUUUCCCCUCUCUCCCAGCCCAGGGGAGCCACAUUCUACUUCCUGUUUCUAGAAGUUUGACUUUAGAUACCCUUACAUAUUUGGAAUCAUACCAAAUUUAUCUUCUUGGGACUGGCCUAUUUCACUUAACAUAAUGGUGUCAAGAUUCAUCCAUGGUAUAGCAUAUGAUAGGAUUUCCUUCUUUUUUAUGGCUGAAAAAUAUUUCAUUGUAUGUGUAUACCACCUUUUUAAAAUUCAUGCAUCUGUCAGUGGACGUUUGGGUUGCUUCCAACUCUUGGCUGUUGCAAAUAACGCUGUAGUGAAUAUGUGUGUGAAAUUAUGCUUCUUUCUGGAAGUGAAAUUAUUGCUAGGGAUCUUAGAAACCAUCUGGUCCAACUCCCUUAUUUUGCACACGAGGAAAUCGAGGCUUCAGAAUGGUCACGCUGCAUGUCUGUGCCUGAACUGGGAUGGAUCCAGCUCUUCAAAUUCCCACUUUAAUUGUCUCUCCGCUGCAUCAUUGUCUUGACUGGGACCAAGACAGUGCCAGCAAGGCCGUUCAUGCCAUAUUUCUAUUAAAGCAUCCCGGAGGGUCAUCAUGUUUUUUUUAACACAAGCACUUUAAUGCCAACAUCCAACCUAUGAUCAUUUCUGAUCAUCAUUGUCAGUGUGUAACCAGAAUUUCUAGGCCUUAAAUAUACAGGAUUAUUGUACAUAUCCCUUGUGAAUGUCAUCAUAGUGGUCGGAGAACAUUUCUCGAAUUUGUCACUGUCUAUCUUUGUUCUAUGGGUAUUCUCUAACUUAGAAGCUCCACCUGUCUUGUUACCAUGUUAUGUAAUAUAUUCGAGAUACUGCACUGUCCUAUCCAGUAGCCCCUACCCUUGUGUGGCGAAUUAAACUUAAAGAAAACUCAAAAUUCAGCUCCUCAUUUGAAUGCUCCACAUUUACAGCAGUUCAGUGUUUCCCAAACUUAGCAGUGAAUUCUCUCACCACAAAGCACCUCACAGGACUUUUCUUCCAUGGAACAACUUGUGGGAAACACUGCCCUGUGCUAUUAUUUACAUAAUUGGUUCAGCAUCUUUCAUGUCUCCCAACAUGGUCAGGUACAGGGCGGGACAGAUGUUUUACUGUUGCAGGAAUAUAAUUUUGUAUCAUCGGCAAACGCGCACGCCAUCAGAUGGUUUGUGUUACAAUUUGGUUGAUUAUUUGAUUUGUGUGAUCAUUUUUAGAAACGUUCACGUUCUACCAGUCACGUCAACCAGUAUAAAAUGACUGUGGUUCCCUUUCUCGCGUGUUGCAAACUUGGCUGGUACACUGACCUUUCUCCAGUCGCUGUGCUUCCCUCACGGUUCCUGAAGACUCCAGCUGCUCAUGUAAUCCCUUACCUCCAUUCACUGUUGAAUGCUUGUAUGUCCAUUGUGGGGGUCCAGGCAUGGAUUUUUUAUUAGAAUUUUUAUUUCGGAAGAGCUUUAGAUUCAGAGUAAAGUGACAGAAAUGUCAGAGUUUCCUUGCAUCUCACACCCAUUUGUCCCGACUGUUAACAUCUCACACAAGUACUGACACACUCCUCACAACUAAUGAACCAGUAUUGAUACCUUAUUAUUAUUAACUAAUGUCUUUACUUUAUGAGACUCUUCCUUAGUUUUUACCUAAUGUCCUUUUUGCAUUCCAGGAUACCCUCCAGGAUAUAAUCUAUUUAGUCAUUAUGUCUCUUUGAGUGCAUGUAGACUGUGACAGCUUCCUAGCCUUUCUUUGCUUUUGAUGACCGUGACCGCUUUGAAAGGAAAACUGGUCAGGUAUUUUGCAGAACGCCCUUCAGUAUGGGUUUGCCUAAUCUCUUUUCGUGAUGAGACUGAGCUUAUGGGUUUGGGGAAGGAAAACCACAGAGAUAAAGUGCUAUUCUCAUCAAAUCGUUUCAAGAAUAAUUCCUAUCAGUGUGACUUAUCACUGAUGAUGUUCUGGGAUUGAUUUUUAUGUCUCCAAUGCAUGUAGUCCUCUCUAGACAGUUCCUUCUGAAUUCUGGAUCGACUUUCCACUUACCCACCACAAAUUGUUCUGUGUAUCUUCGUGGUGACUAUUUUUUAACAUGAUGAAUGAAUGCAUCUAUUGUAAGCUCAAUGUUUGGGCAAGUAGAAUCGCUGCUAAAAAAUAAAAAAUUAGUUAUCUACCUUAAACAAUUAUGCGGUUGAUAUAGAUUAUAUAAUCUUGUGGGUCUGAAAGUCUGUGUGUGAGAGGAGCUGUUUUUUCUACCCUGAGCCCCUUGAUUAGGGCCUAUAGCUACUUCUUAGUUACCAUAUGUGCUAAACAGUCCUUAAAAAACCUACACUAUGGGGGCACCUGGGUGGCUCA